Molecule: long non-coding RNA, 515 nt
Organism: Neofelis nebulosa (Clouded leopard)
Lineage: Eukaryota; Metazoa; Chordata; Mammalia; Carnivora; Felidae
Exons: 3
Source: RefSeq, a predicted model, not a curated record
CAAGUUAAUAAGUAACACAGUUGCCCCUACGAGGGUCAAGGGUCACGAGCAUGCUAUCAGUGAGUGCCUAGAUUGGGCAGGGGGAUUCCUGAGGGAGGUGGGAGGCAAAUUCUGUCUCCACUGGAACCACCGACAUGGACACAGCCCACGGCCUGGAGUUUGUUCGGCAGAGCCCUCCUGUCCGCAGGGAGGCCAGGAACUCCCUUCUUCCAGGUGGUGGGGAAGCUCUCCAUCUCUACCUCGUCUGAUGAAGCGCGAGCUGGGGCUCGCAUCACAAAUGGAGCUUCUGAGCCAGAAAGCUGGCAAACCCUCAAUGGAGAGGAUGUUGAAGAUUCUGAAGACCUAGAAGACUGAGCCACAAGGUGAAAGGAGGCUGGGGCCCUGAGUGACUGAAUGGAGCAGAGCCAUUCCCAUCCCUGACCCACAGUGGAUGACUAUAUGAGGAAGCUCAGAGCCUUGGGGCCUUGCAUAAUUCAACUGGCCAGACUUCCAGGAGCUUGGUAGUCCCUGGAAAG